AACGAACGCUGGCGGCAUGCCUAACACAUGCAAGUCGAACGAGACCUUCGGGUCUAGUGGCGCACGGGUUCGUAACGCGUGGGAACCUUCCCUUAGGUUCGGCAUAACUCCCCGACAGGGGUGCUAAUACCGGAUAAUGUCUUCGGACCAAAGAUUUAUCGCCUUUGGAUGUGCCCGCGUUGGAUUAGCUAGUUGUUAGGGUAAAAGCCUACCAAGGCGACGAUCCAUAGCUGGUCUGAGAGGAUGAUCAGCCACACUGGGACUGAGACACGGCCCAGACUCCUACGGGAGGCAGCAGUGGGGAAUAUUGGAAAAUGGGCGAAAGCCUGAUCCAGCAAUGACGCGUGAGUGAUGAAGGCCUUAGGGUUGUAAAGCUCUUUUACCCGGGAUGAUAAUGACAGUACCGGGAGAAUAAGCCCCGGCUAACUCCGUG
Molecule: ribosomal RNA, 433 nt
Filed under: uncultured bacterium
Lineage: Bacteria
Description: partial 16S ribosomal RNA
Rfam family: Bacterial small subunit ribosomal RNA
Source: RNAcentral